AUGCGGGUCAAGAUGGCUCAGAGGAUAAACACACUUGCUGCCAAGCCUGAUGAUCCGAAUUCGAUCCCCGGAAGCCACGCAAUGGAAGAAAAGAACAGGUUCUUGUCUGUCAGUGAGCCCAGCAGGUGCCGAGCAGCACAGCACACCUGCCACAGGAUGGAACCUCUGUGCAUCCCACACUUCUGCAAGGUACCCAGAGCCUAUAUUGGGCAGGGGUGCUCGAGUUCUUAUCUGGCACCAUGUGUGUCUGGUCACCAUGUGCAUGUGGUGCCUCCGCAGGCCAGGAGGGGGCGCAGAUCCCCUAAAACUGGAAUUAAAAGAUGGUUGUGAGCUACUCUGCAGGUGCUAGGAAUUAAACUGGUUCUCUAGAGAAAAGCAAGUAUUCUUUUGUUUUCUGAGACAGGGUUUCUCUGUAUAGCCCUGGCUGUCCUGGAACUCACUUUGUAGACCAGGCUGGCCUUGAACUCAGAAAUCUGCCUGCCUCUGCCCCCCAAGUGCUGGGAUUAAAGGUGUGCGCCACCACUGCCCGGCUAAAAGCAAGUUUUUUUUUUUUAAAGAUUUAUUUAUUUUUAUUAUAUGUAAGUACACUGUAGUUGUCUUCAGACACUCCAGAAAAGGGAGUCAGAUCUCAUUACGGAUGGUUGUGAGCCACCAUGUGGUUGCUGGGAUUUGAACUUCAGACCUUCAGAAGAGCAGUUGAGUGCUCUACCCACUGAGCCAUCUCACCAGCCCAAAAGCAAGUAUUCCUAAGGAGGGUCAUCUCUCCGGUGCCCAGGUGCACAGGGUGCCCAAGUCACCUGUCACCUCUUACCAUUUCUGUACGUUGAGACACUGAGCAGAGUGAACGUCCCACAAUGGCUGCACCUUCUCCACCUCGUGUCCAUUACACGCUUGCUGGGCCACUCACCAGGCAGAGAUGAGCGAUUCUUCCGUACACCACUGAGGAGGCCUCCCCUCUUCAUCUGCACCUGCCUGAGCCACUCAUUCUGUCCCCACAAGUGUACUCCUGCUGCCACUGGGCCACUGUCAGCCUGUGGAGACCUGAAGGA
This 1049-nucleotide long non-coding RNA is filed under the name Mus spicilegus (steppe mouse). RNAcentral's name for it is "lncRNA (ENSMSIG00000026108.1)". The record is from RNAcentral. Lineage: Eukaryota; Metazoa; Chordata; Mammalia; Rodentia; Muridae.